Molecule: long non-coding RNA, 1142 nt
Filed under: Capsicum annuum
Lineage: Eukaryota; Viridiplantae; Streptophyta; Magnoliopsida; Solanales; Solanaceae
Description: long non-coding RNA (CANN_LNC005902)
Source: RNAcentral
UGGCUUGAACAGACUUUGAAGGUACAACUGCAUCAGCUCCCCCAAUCACCAAAACUGGUAAACUUUCAAUUGCUUUUAGCAGUGUUGUUGCCUUUUCUAGGGAGAGGACUGUCUCAUAUGAUUGUUUUCCUAUCUCAUGGAGUGCUUCAUCCCGAUCUUCCACACAUAAUAGUGCCUGAUUACAUACACAGGCAGACAGGAUUAGAAUUGGAGUUUGUUACAUAUAAAGAGUGUAAAACUAUUGAAAGAACGAACGUGUGGCAAGUUCUUUCAUAUUGAUAAUGAAAAUCCAUUACCCAUAAUCCCAAAUAUAUAAGGGAAUCCUAAAUUGUUUAGGGGCUAGAUAGAUUAAUCUCUCCAUCCUUAAGCAGAAUAUAGGUAUGAAAUCUAAACAACUAAUAAUAAUAUAAUGAAUAAGGUUAUAAUGAUCUAGACGAUCAAGAGCAAAACAUAAAAUUAAAGUUAAUGUUUGAAUUAGACAUCAUGUAUUCGAAAAUAAUGUGUAUAUAUCUGAUAAGGUGUUGAAUAAGGUCAGAGCAGAGGGAGGCAUAAGAACGGAAAAAUAACAAUGUUAAUAUUUGAAUUAGCUACCAUUUAUUUAAAAAGAAAAAAAUAUUUACUUGACUUACUUUUAUCUUCACUUUUCUUUUGGUUACAAUAAAACAAACAACACCAGAAUUGAAGAAGAACUACAAUAAUAUUAAAAAGACAAUUAGUAAACUAAUUAGAUAAAUAGAGCUCAAUUGACAUACUAACCUCAAUUAUGUUGAACUUGAGCCGAGCUUCCUAUGGCGCACAAACUUAAAGUGAUUGAUACCACUCCUUAUAUUUUAAUACAUUGAGCACCAAGAUACCAUGAAGAUCUCUUUGCAAGCUUAACACUCACUGAGAAUGAGUACAUCUGAAAUAGGCGCACCAUUAAAAUAAAUUAAAAGUUACAAAAUCACAAUGAUUUUAUAUAUAAUUUAAGAGAAAAAGAUAAGAUAUAUACAUACAAAGGACUGCAACGUACACCUUUUAACACAUUACCUUUCAUCCCAAGACCCCACAAGUUUUUACUCAUGGUUAUGACUUAAUAACACUAAUAACACAUGAAAGAGUAUCACUCUAAAUCAGAGGUAGUAUUUCACAGGAAACUCAAC